GACGAACGCUGGCGGCGUGCUUAACACAUGCAAGUCGAACGGUAAGGCUCCAGCUUGCUGGGGUACACGAGUGGCGAACGGGUGAGUAACACGUGGGUGACCUGCCCUGCACUUCGGGAUAAGCCUGGGAAACUGGGUCUAAUACCGGAUAGGACCGCACCGUGAGGGUGUGGUGGAAAGUUUUUUCGGUGUGGGAUGGGCCCGCGGCCUAUCAGCUUGUUGGUGGGGUAAUGGCCUACCAAGGCGGCGACGGGUAGCCGGCCUGAGAGGGUGGACGGCCACAUUGGGACUGAGACACGGCCCAGACUCCUACGGGAGGCAGCAGUGGGGAAUAUUGCACAAUGGGCGGAAGCCUGAUGCAGCGACGCCGCGUGGGGGAUGACGGCCUUCGGGUUGUAAACUCCUUUCACCAUCGACGAAGGGUUUCUGACGGUAGAUGGAGAAGAAGCACCGGCUAACUACGUGCCAGCAGCCGCGGUAAUACGUAGGGUGCGAGCGUUGUCCGGAAUUACUGGGCGUAAAGAGCUCGUAGGUGGUUUGUCGCGUCGUCUGUGAAAUUCCGGGGCUUAACUCCGGGCGUGCAGGCGAUACGGGCAUAACUUGAGUACUGUAGGGGAGACUGGAAUUCCUGGUGUAGCGGUGAAAUGCGCAGAUAUCAGGAGGAACACCGGUGGCGAAGGCGGGUCUCUGGGCAGUAACUGACGCUGAGGAGCGAAAGCAUGGGGAGCGAACAGGAUUAGAUACCCUGGUAGUCCAUGCCGUAAACGGUGGGCGCUAGGUGUGGGUUUCCUUCCACGGGAUCCGUGCCGUAGCUAACGCAUUAAGCGCCCCGCCUGGGGAGUACGGCCGCAAGGCUAAAACUCAAAGGAAUUGACGGGGGCCCGCACAAGCGGCGGAGCAUGUGGAUUAAUUCGAUGCAACGCGAAGAACCUUACCUGGGCUUGACAUAUACAGGAUCGCGCCAGAGAUGGUGUUUCCCUUGUGGCUUGUAUACAGGUGGUGCAUGGUUGUCGUCAGCUCGUGUCGUGAGAUGUUGGGUUAAGUCCCGCAACGAGCGCAACCCUUGUCUUAUGUUGCCAGCACGUUGUGGUGGGGACUCGUAAGAAACUGCCGGGGUUAACUCGGAGGAAGGUGGGGAUGACGUCAAAUCAUCAUGCCCCUUACGUCCAGGGCUUCACACAUGCUACAAUGGUCGGUACAGUGGGUUGCCAGUCCGUGAGGGCGAGCUAAUCCCGCAAAGCCGGUCUCAGUUCGGAUCGGGGUCUGCAACUCGACCCCGUGAAGUCGGAGUCGCUAGUAAUCGCAGAUCAGCAACGCUGCGGUGAAUACGUUCCCGGGCCU
RNAcentral lists this ribosomal RNA (1341 nucleotides) under uncultured bacterium. RNAcentral describes it as "partial 16S ribosomal RNA". It matches the Rfam family "Bacterial small subunit ribosomal RNA", at positions 28 to 1381 of the family's 1533-position model. The record is from RNAcentral.